Molecule: ribosomal RNA, 460 nt
Filed under: uncultured bacterium
Lineage: Bacteria
Description: partial 16S ribosomal RNA
Rfam family: Bacterial small subunit ribosomal RNA
Source: RNAcentral
CCUACGGGUGGCAGCAGUGAGGAAUAUUGGUCAAUGGACGAGAGUCUGAACCAGCCAAGUAGCGUGAAGGAUGACUGCCCUAUGGGUUGUAAACUUCUUUUAUAAAGGAAUAAAAUGAGGCACGUGUGCCUUUUUGCAUGUACUUUAUGAAUAAGGAUCGGCUAACUCCGUGCCAGCAGCCGCGGUAAUACGGAGGAUCCGAGCGUUAUCCGGAUUUAUUGGGUUUAAAGGGAGCGUAGAUGGGUUGUUAAGUCAGUUGUGAAAGUUUGCGGCUCAACCGUAAAAUUGCAAUUGAUACUGGCAGUCGUGAGUACAGUAGAGGUAGGCGGAAUUCGUGGUGUAGGGGUGAAAUGCUUAGAUAUCACGAAGAACCCCGAUUGCGAAGGCAGCUUACUAAACUGUAACUGACAUUGAGGCUCGAAAGUGUGGGUAUCAAACAGGAUUAGAUACCCGUGUAGUC